This 420-nucleotide ribosomal RNA is filed under the name uncultured bacterium. RNAcentral's name for it is "bacterial SSU rRNA". It matches the Rfam family "Bacterial small subunit ribosomal RNA", at positions 355 to 774 of the family's 1533-position model. The record is from RNAcentral.
UAAGGAAUAUUGCUCAAUGGGAGAAAUCCUGAAGCAGCAACGCCGCGUGGAGGAUGAAGGGUCUAUGACUUGUAAACUCCUGUAAAGAAGGAAAAAAUUCCCAUUAGAUGGGAGAUGAUGGUACUUCUGGAGUAAGCCCCGGCUAACUACGUGCCAGCAGCCGCGGUAAUACGUAGGGGGCAAGCGUUGUCCGGAUUUACUGGGUGUAAAGGGUGCUCAGGCGGAUUUGUAAGUCAGAGGUGAAAUCUUACAGCUUAACUGUGAAACUGCCUUUGAUAUUGCAAGCCUAGAGUAUGGAAGAGAGUGAUGGAAUAUCUGGUGUAGCAGUGAAAUGCGUAGAUAUCAGAUAGAACACCAAUGGCGAAGGCAGUCACUUGGUCCAUUACUGACGCUAAAGCACGAAAGCGUGGGUAGCAAACA